Nicotiana tabacum (common tobacco) is the source of this 376-nucleotide long non-coding RNA. RefSeq lists it as uncharacterized. The record is from RefSeq and is a predicted model, not a curated record. Lineage: Eukaryota; Viridiplantae; Streptophyta; Magnoliopsida; Solanales; Solanaceae.
UUCGAAUUUUUGUUUUCCGUCGGGGUUUCGGUCUGGUUUUUCACUCAUGUGCGGCUACUGCAAUUGAAAGACUGUCACUCUUUAAGGUGUGCAUCUACUUACCAGAGCUUGUGCAUGACAGAUACCCCGGGACCAUCCAGUUAGGACCGUUGCAUUCAGGAGCUGCUUAAGGAUAUUUUUUUUAAUGUUUUGAGUCUGCCUUCCUUUUAUGUUGUCUUUUACUUUCUAGUCCUUUCUAAUAGUACUGAGUCUUUUAGGUGGUGUCAGAAUCUAUCAUAGUCUAGGUAAGUUUGUCGAGUCGCUUAUUAUCGUAUUUCCGAUUCUGUAUUCAAAAAAAAAUUGUAAAUGAAUAAUCCAAAAAGAUUUUUAUUUUUUA